This 75-nucleotide transfer RNA is filed under the name Clostridium sp. RNAcentral describes it as "tRNA-Thr". It matches the Rfam family "tRNA". Rfam says of the family: Transfer RNA (tRNA) molecules are approximately 80 nucleotides in length. Their secondary structure includes four short double-helical elements and three loops (D, anti-codon, and T loops). Further hydrogen bonds mediate the characteristic L-shaped molecular structure. tRNAs have two regions of fundamental functional importance: the anti-codon, which is responsible for specific mRNA codon recognition, and the 3' end, to which the tRNAs corresponding amino acid is attached (by aminoacyl-tRNA synthetases). tRNAs cope with the degeneracy of the genetic code in two manners: having more than one tRNA (with a specific anti-codon) for a particular amino acid; and 'wobble' base-pairing, i.e. permitting non-standard base-pairing at the 3rd anti-codon position. RNAcentral also lists the same sequence under 8 other names. The record is from RNAcentral. Lineage: Bacteria; Bacillati; Bacillota; Clostridia; Eubacteriales; Clostridiaceae.
GCUGGUGUGGCUCAAUGGUAGAGCAGCUGAUUUGUAAUCAGCAGGUUGAUGGUUCGAUUCCGUUCACCAGCUCCA